This is a long non-coding RNA of Gavialis gangeticus (Gharial), 172 nucleotides long. RefSeq lists it as uncharacterized. The record is from RefSeq and is a predicted model, not a curated record. NCBI's taxonomy places the organism in Eukaryota, Metazoa, Chordata, Crocodylia, Gavialidae. The transcript has 2 exons.
ACCAUUGCUGAAGAGUUAAAGACAAGGGGGAAGGGAGAGUGCUCUACUACUCUAGAGGUGUAUUAGUCUGAAAUGUAGAUUAUGAUAUGCUGAAAGGGGGAAGCUCUCUAAAAAGCACGAAGACCAUUUAUCAUGGCUGAACUCUAACAGAUGAUUCACACAGGCAAAAUGU